GGUCACUAUUUUGGUUAUAACGUUUUUUUAGUAAUACAUUGUUUUAUAAACUUUCAGUGCACAAGUACCACAAUUACACAGAAGCGCAUGCUUCUGCAUUCAUUCACGGUACAGUUAUACGAUUUUUGGCAGAUACUAUGAUGUCCUUUUCUGUUCUUUAUGUUUCCAGUUAUAUAAUAUUUUUUACUUUAAUGCUUUAAUCAUUUUCUGCAGGCAAUAUCAACCCUAGACGUAUAAAACUGUUAAUUUUAAGAUUUAUGGCUAUUUUUGUCAUUAUUUUACCUACAUGCACCAAACUUUGAUAGUUCCUCUUACACAGACUGUCUUCCUAAUGAGGACUAUGCUAGAUGUGUAUGAUUACAUAUAUAUAAUACAGGUUAAUGUAGAUGCAAUGUUUUAUUUAUUUAAGGUGGUAUCCAACACUUUAACUAAAAUUAAUUGGGUUUCGUUUAGUUUUCAUAAAAUUUUGUCAAAGUAUUUACUUUCAAUUGACC
RNAcentral lists this long non-coding RNA (494 nucleotides) under Mytilus galloprovincialis (Mediterranean mussel). Lineage: Eukaryota; Metazoa; Mollusca; Bivalvia; Mytilida; Mytilidae. The record is from RNAcentral.